GGACUACUCGGGUAUCUAAUCCCGUUUGCUCCCCUAGCUUUCGCGCCUCAGCGUCAAGAACAGGCCAGGAAGUCGCCUUCGCCACUGGUGUUCCUCCCGAUAUCUACGCAUUUCACCACUACACCGGGAAUUCCACUUCCCUCUCCUGCCUUCGAGUCGAACAGUAUCGAAUGACCCUCCCCAGUUGAGCCGGGGGCUUUCACAUUCGACUUAUCUGACCGCCUGCGCGCUCUUUACGCCCAGUAAAUCCGGACAACGCUUGCCACCUACGUAUUACCGCGGCUGCUGGCAC
RNAcentral lists this ribosomal RNA (292 nucleotides) under uncultured Acidobacteriota bacterium. RNAcentral's name for it is "uncultured Acidobacteria bacterium partial 16S ribosomal RNA". The record is from RNAcentral. Lineage: Bacteria; Pseudomonadati; Acidobacteriota.